UGAGGCGCGCACCCCGCAGGGAAAUGGAAUCAUGGUGAGGAAGCGCCCCCUUCUGGCCAGAGAGGGAGCUGUCGGCCACGUUUUCCAGCUCUGGGAUGGAGACUGGCCCAGAGGCUCCUACUUUUUCUGAAGGACAGUUAAGGAAUCCAGUUCCUCCUGAGAAAGAGGGGAGACCACCCAUGAAAUCACCCUUCACUGGAUCCUUUUGACCGGCGCCAUCUUAGGAGCAAUGAGUUUCUCUCUCGAGAUCUUGUUUUUUGGUCAGAGCAUUUUUGGAGAUCUCACUCCUGCCUGUCUGUGUCAUCACCCUCCACCCAGGUCAGCAACAAAAUGCUCAGAGACCUGCAUCCCACCCUGGGCUCUCACCUACUAUCCCAGACUCCCAGACCAGGCUGGUUUCUGGGGUGUGUGCCCCUCCCUCCAUCUACACUGUUCUCUCCACUGGAGGAUGGUCACAUGAGGCUGCUUCAGUGUCCAUGGAGGAAACAAAAAGCAUUAAAAUUCCAUUUCUUCCUACUCAGGCCCCCCCAAUCGCCAUAUGUGACCCAUCACCCCAUCUCUGAGCAUGAGGUCACCCCGAGGUGCUGGGCCUUGGGCUUCUACCCUGAUGACAUCACCCUGACCUGGCAGCGAGUUGGGGAGGACCUGACCCAGGACACAGAGCUGGUGAACACCAGGCGGGGGGGCAGUGGGGACUGGAAACUUCCAGAAGUGGGCAGCUGUGGAGGUGCCUUCUGGAGAGGAGCAGAGAUACACAUGCCAUGUGCAGCAUGAGGGGUUGAUAGCACCCCUAGUCCUGAGAUGGGGUAUGAAGGGAAAUGUGGGCACAGAGGCUGACUCGGGGCCAUCAGAAGCCUUUCUGGAGACCUUCAGAGAGUCAGACCAAGGCCUCAGGUUCAGGGUCUGACCUUCCCUUCCCUUCCAGUGCCACCUCCUCAGUUCUCCAUCCUUGCCGUGGUCCUCAUUUCCAGCUCGGUUUUCUUUAGAGGUGCUCAUUGGACACAAGGUGGCUUCAUGUGUGAGGGGCUAGAAGAAGUGCUCAGGAGGACAAGGAGGAAGCUACACUCAGGCUGCAAGGGCAGGACCAAUGUGCUAUCCAUAGAAAACGGAGGUACCAAGUUACCGCCCCGCCUAAGGAAAGGUGGGGCUGAGCAGGGAUGAGAAGCUAAGGAAGAGGAGGAAGACAUGGAGCAAGAUGGGGAAAGGAGACUGAGGAGGUGCAUGGAGCAGAGAGACAUGUGAAGAAGAAACCACGCCUUGCUUCUCACUUGGACUUGUGCCAUGGAGUUGGGGACAUGGAAAGAGACAUGUGAAAGAUUAAAAACAUGGGUGAGAGACUCAUGGGGAGGCUGACAAUGACCGCUGUUAUCUUGUCAUGGAUUUAGAUUUUGUUCUUUUCCUUCCAGACUUGCCUGGCCCCUCCUGACCCUUUCCCAUGGGUCUCUACCAGUAGGUGCCUUAGCCUUGUGGCAGGCGUUCGGGCCCCAGUGGGCCUGCUUUGGGCCCAGCCUGUUUGGCUGGGCAUUGACCCAUGAGGGGACGGGUAACUUUGGGUGCUUCACUUGGGAACUAUACUAACUAUAUUCUUUCUCUUCUUCUCUCUCUAUUGCACACUGAUUCUCUAUUUUAUAGUAAUUGUAUUAAAGUUCUUUUCUAUU
Molecule: long non-coding RNA, 1658 nt
Organism: Talpa occidentalis (Iberian mole)
Lineage: Eukaryota; Metazoa; Chordata; Mammalia; Eulipotyphla; Talpidae
Exons: 3
Source: RefSeq, a predicted model, not a curated record